Molecule: ribosomal RNA, 2923 nt
Filed under: Klebsiella pneumoniae
Lineage: Bacteria; Pseudomonadati; Pseudomonadota; Gammaproteobacteria; Enterobacterales; Enterobacteriaceae
Description: 23S ribosomal RNA
Rfam family: Bacterial large subunit ribosomal RNA
Source: RNAcentral
GGGUUGUGAGGUUAAGCGACUAAGCGUACACGGUGGAUGCCCUGGCAGUCAGAGGCGAUGAAGGACGUGCUAAUCUGCGAAAAGCGUCGGUAAGGUGAUAUGAACCGUUAUAACCGGCGAUGUCCGAAUGGGGAAACCCAGUGCAAUUCGUUGCACUAUCGUUAACUGAAUACAUAGGUUAACGAGGCGAACCGGGGGAACUGAAACAUCUAAGUACCCCGAGGAAAAGAAAUCAACCGAGAUUCCCCCAGUAGCGGCGAGCGAACGGGGAGCAGCCCAGAGUCUGAAUCAGCUUGUGUGUUAGUGGAACGGUCUGGAAAGUCCGACGGUACAGGGUGAUAGUCCCGUACACCAAAAUGCACAGGCUGUGAACUCGAAGAGUAGGGCGGGACACGUGGUAUCCUGUCUGAAUAUGGGGGGACCAUCCUCCAAGGCUAAAUACUCCUGACUGACCGAUAGUGAACCAGUACCGUGAGGGAAAGGCGAAAAGAACCCCGGCGAGGGGAGUGAAAAAGAACCUGAAACCGUGUACGUACAAGCAGUGGGAGCACCUUCGGGUGUGACUGCGUACCUUUUGUAUAAUGGGUCAGCGACUUAUAUUCUGUAGCAAGGUUAACCGUAUAGGGGAGCCGCAGGGAAACCGAGUCUUAACUGGGCGUUAAGUUGCAGGGUAUAGACCCGAAACCCGGUGAUCUAGCCAUGGGCAGGUUGAAGGUUGGGUAACACUAACUGGAGGACCGAACCGACUAAUGUUGAAAAAUUAGCGGAUGACUUGUGGCUGGGGGUGAAAGGCCAAUCAAACCGGGAGAUAGCUGGUUCUCCCCGAAAGCUAUUUAGGUAGCGCCUCGUGAACUCAUCUUCGGGGGUAGAGCACUGUUUCGGCUAGGGGGUCAUCCCGACUUACCAACCCGAUGCAAACUACGAAUACCGAAGAAUGUUAUCACGGGAGACACACGGCGGGUGCUAACGUCCGUCGUGAAGAGGGAAACAACCCAGACCGCCAGCUAAGGUCCCAAAGUCAUGGUUAAGUGGGAAACGAUGUGGGAAGGCACAGACAGCCAGGAUGUUGGCUUAGAAGCAGCCAUCAUUUAAAGAAAGCGUAAUAGCUCACUGGUCGAGUCGGCCUGCGCGGAAGAUGUAACGGGGCUAAACCAUGCACCGAAGCUGCGGCAGCGACACUAUGUGUUGUUGGGUAGGGGAGCGUUCUGUAAGCCUGCGAAGGUGACCUGUGAGGGUUGCUGGAGGUAUCAGAAGUGCGAAUGCUGACAUAAGUAACGAUAAAGCGGGUGAAAAGCCCGCUCGCCGGAAGACCAAGGGUUCCUGUCCAACGUUAAUCGGGGCAGGGUGAGUCGACCCCUAAGGCGAGGCCGAAAGGCGUAGUCGAUGGGAAACAGGUUAAUAUUCCUGUACUUGGUGUUACUGCGAAGGGGGGACGGAGAAGGCUAUGUUAGCCGGGCGACGGUUGUCCCGGUUUAAGCAUGUAGGCUGGUUGUCCAGGCAAAUCCGGAUAAUCAAGGCUGAGGUGUGAUGACGAGGCACUACGGUGCUGAAGUAACAAAUGCCCUGCUUCCAGGAAAAGCCUCUAAGCAUCAGGUAACAUCAAAUCGUACCCCAAACCGACACAGGUGGUCAGGUAGAGAAUACCAAGGCGCUUGAGAGAACUCGGGUGAAGGAACUAGGCAAAAUGGUGCCGUAACUUCGGGAGAAGGCACGCUGGUGUGUAGGUGAAGCCCCUGCGGGUGGAGCUGAGACCAGUCGAAGAUACCAGCUGGCUGCAACUGUUUAUUAAAAACACAGCACUGUGCAAACACGAAAGUGGACGUAUACGGUGUGACGCCUGCCCGGUGCCGGAAGGUUAAUUGAUGGGGUUAUCCGUAAGGAGAAGCUCUUGAUCGAAGCCCCGGUAAACGGCGGCCGUAACUAUAACGGUCCUAAGGUAGCGAAAUUCCUUGUCGGGUAAGUUCCGACCUGCACGAAUGGCGUAAUGAUGGCCAGGCUGUCUCCACCCGAGACUCAGUGAAAUUGAACUCGCUGUGAAGAUGCAGUGUACCCGCGGCAAGACGGAAAGACCCCGUGAACCUUUACUAUAGCUUGACACUGAACAUUGAGCCUUGAUGUGUAGGAUAGGUGGGAGGCUUUGAAGCGUGGACGCCAGUCUGCGUGGAGCCAACCUUGAAAUACCACCCUUUAAUGUUUGAUGUUCUAACGUUGGCCCCUUAUCGGGGUUGCGGACAGUGUCUGGUGGGUAGUUUGACUGGGGCGGUCUCCUCCCAAAGCGUAACGGAGGAGCACGAAGGUUAGCUAAUCCUGGUCGGACAUCAGGAGGUUAGUGCAAUGGCAUAAGCUAGCUUGACUGCGAGCGUGACGGCGCGAGCAGGUGCGAAAGCAGGUCAUAGUGAUCCGGUGGUUCUGAAUGGAAGGGCCAUCGCUCAACGGAUAAAAGGUACUCCGGGGAUAACAGGCUGAUACCGCCCAAGAGUUCAUAUCGACGGCGGUGUUUGGCACCUCGAUGUCGGCUCAUCACAUCCUGGGGCUGAAGUAGGUCCCAAGGGUAUGGCUGUUCGCCAUUUAAAGUGGUACGCGAGCUGGGUUUAGAACGUCGUGAGACAGUUCGGUCCCUAUCUGCCGUGGGCGCUGGAGAAUUGAGGGGGGCUGCUCCUAGUACGAGAGGACCGGAGUGGACGCAUCACUGGUGUUCGGGUUGUCAUGCCAAUGGCACUGCCCGGUAGCUAAAUGCGGAAGAGAUAAGUGCUGAAAGCAUCUAAGCACGAAACUUGCCCCGAGAUGAGUUCUCCCUGAGACUAUAAGUCUCCUGAAGGAACGUUAAAGACGAUGACGUUGAUAGGCCGGGUGUGUAAGCGCAGCGAUGCGUUGAGCUAACCGGUACUAAUGAACCGUGAGGCUUAACCUUACAACGCCGAAG